GACAGAGGAUGCAAGCGUUAUCCGGAAUGAUUGGGCGUAAAGCGUCUGUAGGUGGCUUUUAAGUCCGCCGUCAAAUCCCAGGGCUCAACCCUGGACAGGCGGUGGAAACUACCAAGCUGGAAUACGGUAGGGCAGAGGGAAUUUCCGGUGGAGCGGUGAAAGUGCGGUAGAGAUCGGAAAGAACACCAACGGCGAAAGCACUCUGCUGGGCCGACACUGACACUGAGAGCACGAAAGCUAGGGGAGCGAAUGGG
This 254-nucleotide ribosomal RNA is filed under the name uncultured bacterium. RNAcentral describes it as "partial 16S ribosomal RNA". It matches the Rfam family "Bacterial small subunit ribosomal RNA", at positions 524 to 776 of the family's 1533-position model. The record is from RNAcentral.